UCCCACCUGGUCAUGGGGAUAAUCUUUUUAAUGUACUGUUGGAUCCUAUUAGCUAGGAUCUUGUUGAUAAUCUUGGUGUCCAUAUUCAGCAGGGAUAUUGGUCUGAAAUUAUUCCUUUUGAUGGGAUCUUUGCCUGGUUUGGGAUCAAGACAAU
Mustela erminea (ermine) is the source of this 154-nucleotide long non-coding RNA. RefSeq lists it as uncharacterized. The transcript has 3 exons. The record is from RefSeq and is a predicted model, not a curated record. Lineage: Eukaryota; Metazoa; Chordata; Mammalia; Carnivora; Mustelidae.